Molecule: ribosomal RNA, 429 nt
Filed under: Gemmatimonadota bacterium
Lineage: Bacteria; Pseudomonadati; Gemmatimonadota
Description: Gemmatimonadetes bacterium partial 16S ribosomal RNA
Rfam family: Bacterial small subunit ribosomal RNA
Source: RNAcentral
UAGGGAAUCUUCGGCAAUGGACGAAAGUCUGACCGAGCAACGCCGCGCGAGUGAAGAAGGUUUUCGGAUCGUAAAACUCUGUUGUUAGAGAAGAACAAGGACGUUAGUAACUGAACGUCCCCUGACGGUAUCUAACCAGAAAGCCACGGCUAACUACGUGCCAGCAGCCGCGGUAAUACGUAGGUGGCAAGCGUUGUCCGGAUUUAUUGGGCGUAAAGCGAGCGCAGGCGGUUUCUUAAGUCUGAUGUGAAAGCCCCCGGCUCAACCGGGGAGGGUCAUUGGAAACUGGGAGACUUGAGUGCAGAAGAGGAGAGUGGAAUUCCAUGUGUAGCGGUGAAAUGCGUAGAUAUAUGGAGGAACACCAGUGGCGAAGGCGGCUCUCUGGUCUGUAACUGACGCUGAGGCGCGAAAGCGUGGGGAGCAAACAGG